UACGUAGGGGGCAAGCGUUGUCCGGAAUCAUUGGGCGUAAAGCGCGCGUAGGCGGCCCGGUAAGUCCGUUGUGAAAGUCAAAGGCUCAACCUUUGAACGCCGAUGGAUACUGCCGGGCUAGAGUCCGGAAGAGGAGAGUGGAAUUCCCGGUGUAGCGGUGAAAUGCGCAGAUAUCGGGAAGAACACCCGUGGCGAAGGCGGCUCUCUGGGACGGUACUGACGCUGAGACGCGAAAGCGUGGGAGCGAACAGG
This 252-nucleotide ribosomal RNA is filed under the name uncultured bacterium. Its description in RNAcentral is "partial 16S ribosomal RNA". It matches the Rfam family "Bacterial small subunit ribosomal RNA", at positions 524 to 776 of the family's 1533-position model. The record is from RNAcentral.